GACGAACGCUGGCGGCGUGCUUAACACAUGCAAGUCGAACGCUGAAGCUCAGCUUGCUGGGUGGAUGAGUGGCGAACGGGUGAGUAACACGUGAGUAACCUGCCCUCUUCUUUGGGAUAACGCCCGGAAACGGGUGCUAAUACUGGAUAUUCACUGAUUCUCGCAUGGGGGUUGGUGGAAAGGUUUUUUCUGGUGGGGGAUGGGCUCGCGGCCUAUCAGCUUGUUGGUGGGGUGAUGGCCUACCAAGGCUUUGACGGGUAGCCGGCCUGAGAGGGUGACCGGUCACAUUGGGACUGGGAUACGGCCCAGACUGCUACGGGAGGCAGCAGUGGGGAAUAUUGCACGAUGGGCGAAAGCCUGAUGCAGCGACGCCGCGUGAGGGAUGGAGGCCUUCGGGUUGUAAACCUCUUUCGCUCAUGGUCAAGCCGCAGCUUUGGGUUGUGGUGAGGGUAGUGGGUAAAGAAGCGCCGGCUAACUACGUG
RNAcentral lists this ribosomal RNA (482 nucleotides) under uncultured bacterium. RNAcentral describes it as "partial 16S ribosomal RNA". It matches the Rfam family "Bacterial small subunit ribosomal RNA", at positions 28 to 507 of the family's 1533-position model. The record is from RNAcentral.